GGAAAGGGAAAUAGUGUAUGUAAGGGACACUUUGGAGCCUGCGUUUUAGGGUGAUUUUACUUUAGGAGUUUGUGUAACCUAGACGCAUUAUGUUUCUGUUUCAGGCAUUUUGCAGACUGCUGCUCAUACUCGAGUGCCACAGAAAAAUUUUGAGCUGAGACCAACUUGAGAAAGGUCAUAUUUGCGAACCUGAUUCAAUUGCUUUAAAAAUUCACUUUUCUCAUGCAGUAACUAGUAAUUGAUCUCUGAAUGGAUAAUGAAAUCUUUACCAGGGAGAUUACGCCAGUUUAGACAGAGAGAAACUGAAAUCUUGGAUAUUGGAAGAAAGUUAGAGAUCAUGUACUCUGAG
This 349-nucleotide long non-coding RNA is filed under the name Bos taurus (domestic cattle). RNAcentral's name for it is "long non-coding RNA NONBTAT009265". Lineage: Eukaryota; Metazoa; Chordata; Mammalia; Artiodactyla; Bovidae. The record is from RNAcentral.